Unclassified non-coding RNA from Aotus nancymaae (Ma's night monkey), 170 nucleotides. The record is from Ensembl. Lineage: Eukaryota; Metazoa; Chordata; Mammalia; Primates; Aotidae.
CAGUGUUGACUGUUUUGAAAAUCUCUUAGUUCUUGGACAGCAGUAUUAGAAAAGUGUAAGAAAAUCUUCAAAACCUGGAGGUAUGCCUGUUGAACUUUUGUACCGAUAGCACCUUUACCAGAGGCUGCAUGUUUAAAGCCCGAAGAAAACUUUGCUUUUCUGAAAGAAUA